AGAAACUGUCACAGAAAAACCAUUAGACUUGAAACUGAUUCUGUCUCAGCUCUGUUUGAAACUUCAAUUGUUUCUCAAGCAAGCUUCUCUACUUCUUAUCUCUAAACUAAUAUAAUAAGACUUAAUUUCUAAUAUCAUCCUUAUACUGUGUGACCCUGGUCAAGUCACUUAACCUCUAUUGCCUAGCCCCCUGUAAUAGAGGGCAAUACUAGGAUAUUUGUGGUAGUAAGGACAGGGACAGCAGGAAGCCAGCUAAGGGACAAGGCUGGACCUUACACUCCUCCCACACACUACUUCCUGUCCCUUCCCCAACUGAAUCUAAAGAUUCUUCUCAAGAAUGGAAUAUAUACAACCAUUGGCUCCUGAUCGGUCCUGUGCUUCCAUGACUAGAAGGGUUGGAGUCAAAGAUGACUGACAAUUGAUCCAGGAAGAACCCAUUCUUCAGUAGACUUUAAGAGCUGUAGAAAAACUCUGGUGGCCCUCUGUUUUGAAUACAUCAUUUAGGAUUCAGAAAGCCUCUCCCUAGGAUUUCAACAAGGUGGGGAAAGAGUAUUUCUCUCUCUUCUUCCCCUCACCAACAAUGAUGGCAAUUACAUGUAC
RNAcentral lists this long non-coding RNA (600 nucleotides) under Monodelphis domestica (gray short-tailed opossum). RNAcentral's name for it is "lncRNA (ENSMODG00000040952.1)". Lineage: Eukaryota; Metazoa; Chordata; Mammalia; Didelphimorphia; Didelphidae. The record is from RNAcentral.